This 2841-nucleotide small RNA is filed under the name Pan troglodytes (chimpanzee). RNAcentral's name for it is "retained intron". Lineage: Eukaryota; Metazoa; Chordata; Mammalia; Primates; Hominidae. The record is from RNAcentral.
GAGCGCCGCUGGGUAGGCGGAAGUAGCCGCAGGCAUGGCGGCGGCUAUGCCGCUUGCUCUGCUCGUCCUGUUGCUCCUGGGGCCCGGCGGCUGGUGCCUUGCAGAACCCCCACGCGACAGCCUGCGGGAGGAACUUGUCAUCACCCCGCUGCCUUCCGGGGACGUAGCCGCCACAUUCCAGUUCCGCACGCGCUGGGAUUCGGAGCUUCAGCGGGAAGGAGUGUCCCAUUACAGGCUCUUUCCCAAAGCCCUGGGGCAGCUGAUCUCCAAGUAUUCUCUACGGGAGCUGCACCUGUCAUUCACACAAGGCUUUUGGAGGACCCGAUACUGGGGGCCACCCUUCCUGCAGGCCCCAUCAGGUGCAGAGCUGUGGGUCUGGUUCCAAGACACUGUCACUGAUGUGGAUAAAUCUUGGAAGGAGCUCAGUAAUGUCCUCUCAGGGAUCUUCUGCGCCUCUCUCAACUUCAUCGACUCCACCAACACAGUCACUCCCACUGCCUCCUUCAAACCCCUGGGUCUGGCCAAUGACACUGACCACUACUUUCUGCGCUAUGCUGUGCUGCCACGGGAGGUGGUCUGCACCGAAAACCUCACCCCCUGGAAGAAGCUCUUGCCCUGUAGUUCCAAGGCAGGCCUCUCUGUGCUGCUGAAGGCAGAUCGCUUGUUCCACACCAGCUACCACUCCCAGGCAGUGCAUAUCCGCCCUGUUUGCAGAAAUGCACGCUGUACUAGCAUCUCCUGGGAGCUGAGGCAGACCCUGUCAGUUGUAUUUGAUGCCUUCAUCACGGGGCAGGGAAAGAAAGACUGGUCCCUCUUCCGGAUGUUCUCCCGAACCCUCACGGAGCCCUGCCCCCUGGCUUCAGAGAGCCGAGUCUAUGUGGACAUCACCACCUACAACCAGGACAACGAGACAUUAGAGGUGCACCCACCCCCGACCACUACAUAUCAGGACGUCAUCCUAGGCACUCGGAAGACCUAUGCCAUCUAUGACUUGCUUGACACCGCCAUGAUCAACAACUCUCGAAACCUCAACAUCCAGCUCAAGUGGAAGAGACCCCCAGAGAAUGGUGAGUGGGUGGUUGGUUGGACUGCUGGGUUGCAACGGCUACAGAGAAAAGACUCACAAUCCCACGUCUUUGCCGUUAGAUGAUUGGGUUGUAUUUAGACCAGAUCUCCAGAGUCAUAUGCUGCUGACUGUAGGUAUUCCAAGCUCUACAAUUUUGGGUAGGUUCCUAAACUCCCCAAGCUUCAGCAUCCACAUCUGAAAAAUAGAGUAUACUUAGCGAAUUGGAUGAGAUGAUGUGAAAAAUGGAGUUAGUUCAUGCAUUUGCUUAAUCAACCAAAUACUUUUGAAUUCAUACUAAGUGCCAGGCAUAGAGUGUUGAAUAAGACAGAGGACACUGCACUCAAGAAAUAUAAGUCUACUAGCUAGGGCAGGUGUCAGUUAAUUAAUUACAGUUGUGUUCAGUUCCCUUACCAAGGGAAAGAGCAGAAUAUCCUGAGAGGACCUGGAUUGGGUUCGAAGGGGGCACGGUGUUCGUCACGUAAGCACUUCAAUACUAGCAACCUAUUGUCAUCAUCGCUUGUUGGCUGGGGAAGACAGGGAUGAUUCCAGAACCCAGAUUGCCCAGUUUCAGUGGCAGGGCUGUUCCCCCAUCUACUCACUGGCUUGGGACUCUGAACAUGGCCUGGGCAGGUGGGGUGGGGAGUGAUUCUUACCUUUGGCAGCUGUUAACUGUUGCUAUUUCUUUACACAGAGGCCCCCCCAGUGCCCUUCCUGCAUGCCCAGCGGUACGUGAGCGGCUAUGGGCUGCAGAAGGGGGAGCUGAGCACACUGCUGUACAACACCCACCCAUACCGGGCCUUCCCGGUGCUGCUGCUGGACACCGUACCCUGGUAUCUGCGGCUGUAUGUGCACACCCUCACCAUCACCUCCAAGGGCAAGGAGAACAAACCAAGUUACAUCCACUACCAGCCUGCCCAGGACCGGCUGCAACCCCACCUCCUGGAGAUGCUGAUUCAGCUGCCGGCCAACUCAGUCACCAAGGUUUCCAUCCAGUUUGAGCGGGCGCUGCUGAAGUGGACCGAGUACACGCCAGAUCCUAACCAUGGCUUCUAUGUCAGCCCAUCUGUCCUCAGCGCCCUUGUGCCCAGCAUGGUAGCAGCCAAGCCAGUGGACUGGGAAGAGAGUCCCCUCUUCAACAGCUUGUUCCCAGUCUCUGAUGGCUCUAACUACUUUGUGCGGCUCUACACGGAGCCGCUGCUGGUGAACCUGCCGACACCGGACUUCAGCAUGCCCUACAACGUGAUCUGCCUCACGUGCACUGUGGUGGCCGUGUGCUAUGGCUCCUUCUACAAUCUCCUCACCCGAACCUUCCACAUCGAGGAGCCCCGCACAGGUGGCCUGGCCAAGCGGCUGGCCAACCUUAUCCGGCGUGCCCGAGGUGUCCCCCCACUCUGAUUCUUGCCCUUUCCAGCAGCUGCAGCUGCCGUUUCUCUCUGGGGAGGGGAGCCCAAGGGCUGUUUCUGCCACUUGCUCUCCUCAGAGUUGGCUUUUGAACCAAAGUGCCCUGGACCAGGUCAGGGCCUACAGCUGUGCUGUCCAGUACAGGAGCCACGAGCCAAAUGUGGCAUUUGAAUUUGAAUUAACUUAGAAAUUCAUUUCCUCACCUGUAGUGGCCACCUCUAUAUUGAGGUGCUCAAUAAGCAAAAGUGGUCAGUGGCUGCUGUAUUGGACAGCACAGAAAAAGAUUUCCAUCACCACAGAAAGGUCGGCUGGCAGCACUGGCCAAGGUGAUGGGGUGUGCUGCACAGUGUAUGUCACUGUGUAGUGGAUGGAGU